CCUACGGGGGGCUGCAGUGAGGAAUAUUGGUCAAUUGGCGAGAGCCUGAACCAGCCAAGUCGCGUGAAGGAUGACGGCCCUACGGGUUGUAAACUUCUUUUGUCAGGGAGCAAUUGGGUCCUUGCGAGGGCCCAAUGAGAGUACCCGGAGAAAAAGCAUCGGCUAACUCCGUGCCAGCAGCCGCGGUAAUACGGAGGAUGCGAGCGUUAUCCGGAUUUAUUGGGUGUAAAGGGUGCGUAGGCGGGCUGUUAAGUCAGCGGUCAAAUGUCGGGGCUCAACCCCGGCCUGCCGUUGAAACUGGCGGCCUCGAGUGGGCGAGAAGUAUGCGGAAUGCGUGGUGUAGCGGUGAAAUGCAUAGAUAUCACGCAGAACUCCGAUUGCGAAGGCAGCAUACCGGCGCCCUACUGACGCUGAGGCACGAAAGCGUGGGUAUCGAACAGGAUUAGAUACCCCAGUAGUC
This 460-nucleotide ribosomal RNA is filed under the name uncultured bacterium. Its description in RNAcentral is "partial 16S ribosomal RNA". It matches the Rfam family "Bacterial small subunit ribosomal RNA", at positions 338 to 795 of the family's 1533-position model. The record is from RNAcentral.